AGAGUUUGAUCCUGGCUCAGAAUCAACGCUGGCGGCGCGCUUAACACAUGCAAGUCGCACGAGAAAGGGAGCAAUCCUGAGUAAAGUGGCGUACGGGUGAGUAACACGUGGCAUCAUCUACCUCCGAGUGGGGAAUAACCCUGGGAAACCGGGGCUAAUACCGCAUAAGUCCGUGAGGAGAAAGCAGCAAUGCGCUGGGAGAAGAGUCCGCGGCCGACUAGCUAGUUGGUGAGGUAAUGGCUCACCAAGGCGACGAUCGGUAGCCGGCCUGAGAGGGCACACGGCCACACUGGCACUGAGACACGGGCCAGACUCCUACGGGAGGCAGCAGUGGGGAAUCUUGCACAAUGGGGGAAACCCUGAUGCAGCGACGCCGCGUGGGUGAUGAAGUCCUUCGGGAUGUAAAACCCUUUCGACAGGAACGAUAAUGACGGUACCUGGAGAAGAAGCUGCGGCUAACUACGUGCCAGCAGCCGCGGUAAUACGUAGGCAGCAAGCGUUGUUCGGAGUUACUGGGCGUAAAGAGUGUGUA
Molecule: ribosomal RNA, 532 nt
Filed under: uncultured bacterium
Lineage: Bacteria
Description: bacterial SSU rRNA
Rfam family: Bacterial small subunit ribosomal RNA
Source: RNAcentral